This is a long non-coding RNA of Tigriopus californicus, 2458 nucleotides long. RefSeq lists it as uncharacterized. Lineage: Eukaryota; Metazoa; Arthropoda; Copepoda; Harpacticoida; Harpacticidae. The transcript has 3 exons. The record is from RefSeq and is a predicted model, not a curated record.
AACAACCCACUACUCUAUUGUCGAUUAACUCCAAGGAGGUGUUUGAGAAAGUGCGGAAAGUAUUGAAUCACGACACAAUGUCACUUUGGCGGUAUCUUAAGAAGCUCCCUCCCUUAGAGCUCCAGCACCAACAAGAUGAAUUGCGUGCAUUAUCAAAUACGCUGACGGCCUGGACCCCUGAAAUGUAUGAAACCACAUCCCACAAGAAGCUUGGGUUAGAUCAAGCCCUGAUCCAAAUGAUUUCAAAUGACAUGCAGCCCAUUUCUAUUGUGGAGGAUGGUGUUUUCGGGAAUUUUUGCCAAGCCAUGAAUCCCAAGUUCCCCUCAAGACAAGUCAUUUCGAAGACAUUAAUCCCAGCCAUGUUUGAAGAGGCGCAAAGAAAAUUGGGGUAAAAGCUUGUACAAGCCAAAUGGGUGUGUUUUACCACUGAUUCGUGGACUUCCGCCACUGCCACUGGCUUCUUGGCACUCACCAUUAAUUUUUGGGAUCACGAAGCAUCAACCCUGCAAUGCUUUGUUCUGGAUUGCUUGAGGAUAUGGGGACGUCAUUCGGCUGAUCAAUUGGGUGAAGAAAUGAGAGCUGUGUUGAUUAAAAAUGAAAUCAUUUCCAAAACUACGGACAAUGGGGCAAAUAUCGUCAAGGCAUUGCAAAACAUUAUCAUCAAGCACAUGGCCUGUUAUGCGCAUACGCUAAAUCUGGUUGCAAAUGCGUCUUUAAGAGAAACUCCAGCCUUAGCUGCAGCCAAGGAAGCUGCUUCAAGACUGGUUGAAAUAACCAAAUGAAGCACGCCAACCUUGGAAAGAUUUGAACAAAUUCAACGUAAUCAGGGUUUCCCCACGGUAAAGAAAUUGAUCCAGGAUAUUUCAACUCUACUUUCGAAAUGAUGAACUGUCUAGUCAAGCUGAAAGGACCCGUUUCAGAACUCCUGACGGAGCCUGGAAUGAGCUCCAAUGUUGGCAUGGUUGACUCGACAAUGUGGGAGGUGCUUCAUGAAGCAGUUGAUGUACUUCAACCAUUGUAUGAAGCCACUUUGGCGCUUUCUGAUGAAAAAAAACACUAAUGGAUCAAAGGGUACUCCCCUCACCAAGAUGCUGAUUUUACGAUACGUCAAUUUCACUGCGCAGUCCCUUUCCGGACUGAUAAAGCACGACCUGGCCCAAGCUAUUCCUAGAAAUCUCAAUCGUCGAUUUUGGGAAGUUGAAAAAGUCAAGGAACUAGUGCUUCCAACUCUCUUGGAUCCACGGUUCAAGGCUCAUGGAUAUCCACUUGAAAAACGAAGCCCUAGACAUCUUAAUUUCUGAGCUGGUUGGCCUGUAUUCGCCCACAAAUCGAGAUCGACCCCCCAAAGCUCAGCCAAGCAACCACGAUCUUCUCUCUGGGAGCCUUUUGACAAGGAUGUUGCUCAAUGCGAAACCAGGAAUACUGAGACCUAUCCGGACAUUGCCCAUACUCACCUUCAUAUCUACCUUUACCUCCCUUGCCAGCCUAGGCAUACCGAUCUGUUCAAUUGGUGGGUGAGGAUUGGCCAAGAAAAAAUUCCCUUCCUCUUCCUCUUGGCCCCAAAGUUACUAACAUUCCUGCCACUUCCGUACCCUCUGCGAGAGCGAAGAAACGGAAUCGAAUUGGCGACGAGUGUGCCCGGAAGCUAAUCUGGUAGAGGCUGGCCAGGUUUUUUUCCGCCAACAAUGCUAGUGCGCACAAAAUCGAAGCGAAAAAAAUGCUAAUUGGAAUUCGAUAAUGCAAGAACAGUGCUACUUAUUAAAUAAAAGUAAAUUAUUCAUGCUGCUCAUAAAUAAUCUCAGCUUCACAAUUCAAUUAUAUUUGGCACUCUUUGACAGGGUAUGUUCAGGCAACAUCUUGAAAAUUAUACUUUUAGAAAAAAAAAAUUGAAAACCACAAAAAUCUUAAGAAACCCCUGGCAGUAAAAACUGAUACGGUUGUGUUAAUGAUAUUAUCCUAAUUUUGAACCCUGAGUCUUAGAAGGGGACACCCAAAAGUGACAAGUUUUAUAUGAGGAAAAAUGUACUUUCAGGACUCGAAAAAGGUUUUUUUACACACAAUUAAAAUGUAUCUUAUCGCCAAAAAAAUGUUCGUCUUGGGUGAGAUCAGACAUGGAUUAUAUCAAGAAAAUAAGAUUAAUUGGUUUUCUAUUUUGAUUUUUUUGCUAUUUUUGAAUCUUGUGUUUUGGUUUAUCUUAAAUGUGUGGGGGGGAUACCACUCGGAAUACAACGAAACUAACCAAAAUAUUUAUGUUUGUUUGAAUAUUACAAUGAAAUUAAGCCAUACUUACAUUUACUUGAGGAUUUGGUACUUUGUCCCUAUACAUGCAAUGACCAUUUUAAUCAUUCUUUUUAAUUUGUGCUAUCCAACCCAUUUUUUUUCUCGUGUGUCAAAAGUGUGGUCACAUACAGAUAUUUGUCUAAAUCUCCCUUUGAAUUGAAAAGCAAAUAAGAUAAAU